AUAUCAAUAAGCGGAGGAAAAGAAACCAACAGGGAUUGCCNUAGUAACGGCGAGUGAAGCGGCAACAGCUCAAAUUUGAAAUCUGGCCCCUCCGGGGUCCGAGUUGUAAUUUGCAGAGGGUGNUUCGGCGUCGGCCCCGGGUCAAGUCCCCUGGAACGGGGCGUCCCAGAGGGUGAGAACCCCGUACCCACCCGGGUGCCCUUCGCCGUGUGAAGCCCCUUCGACGAGUCGAGUUGUUUGGGAAUGCAGCUCUAAGUGGGAGGUAAAUUUCUUNUAAAGCUAAAUACCGGCCAGAGACCGAUAGCGCACAAGUAGAGUGAUCGAAAGAUGAAAAGCACUUUGGAAAGAGAGUUAAAAAGCACGUGAAAUUGUUGAAAGGGAAGCUCUUGCCGCCAGACUUGCCGCGGUUGNUCAGCCGCCCUCCGGGGCGGUGUACUCUUCCGUCGGCAGGCCAGCGUCGGUUCGGGCGGCCGGAUAAAGGCCCCGGGAAUGUAGCACCCCUCGGGGUGUGUUAUAGCCCGGGGCGCAAUGCGGCCAGCCCGGUCCGAGGCACGCGUUCGCGAGGACGCUGGCGUAAUGGNUGCAAGCGACCCGUCUUGAAACACGGACCAAGGAGUCUAACAUCUGUGCGAGUGUUUGGGCGUCAAACCCAUGCGCGUAAUGAAAGUGAACGGAGGUGGGAACCCCCUCGAGGGGCGCACCAUCGACCGAUCCUGAUGUCUUCGGAUGGAUUUGAGUAAGAGCAUAGCUGUUGGGACCCGAAAGAUGGUGAACUAUUCCCGGAUAGGGUGAAGCCAGAGGAAACUCUGGUGGAGGCUCGCAGCGGUUCUGACGUGCAAAUCGAUCGUCAAAUCUAGGAAUAGGGGCGAAAGACUAAUCGAACCAU
Molecule: ribosomal RNA, 886 nt
Filed under: Dendrographa decolorans
Lineage: Eukaryota; Fungi; Ascomycota; Arthoniomycetes; Arthoniales; Roccellaceae
Description: LSU rRNA
Rfam family: Eukaryotic large subunit ribosomal RNA
Source: RNAcentral